GUGGGGAAUCUUAGACAAUGGGCGCAAGCCUGAUCUAGCCAUGCCGCGUGAGCGAUGAAGGCCUUAGGGUUGUAAAGCUCUUUCGUGGGGGAAGAUAAUGACUGUACCCCAAGAAGAAGCCCCGGCUAACUCCGUGCCAGCAGCCGCGGUAAUACGGAGGGGGCUAGCGUUGUUCGGAAUUACUGGGCGUAAAGCGCACGUAGGCGGACUGGAAAGGCAGGGGUGAAAUCCCGGGGCUCAACCCCGGAACUGCCUUUGAAACUUCCAGUCUUGAGUUCGAGAGAGGUGAGUGGAAUUCCGAGUGUAGAGUUGAAAUUCGUAGAUAUUCGGAGGAACACCAGUGGCGAAGGCGGCUCACUGGCUCGAUACUGACGCUGAGGUGCGAAAGCGUGGGGAGCAAACAGGAUUAGAUACCCUAGUAGUCC
Molecule: ribosomal RNA, 425 nt
Filed under: uncultured bacterium
Lineage: Bacteria
Description: partial 16S ribosomal RNA
Rfam family: Bacterial small subunit ribosomal RNA
Source: RNAcentral